This 431-nucleotide ribosomal RNA is filed under the name uncultured bacterium. RNAcentral's name for it is "bacterial SSU rRNA". It matches the Rfam family "Bacterial small subunit ribosomal RNA", at positions 29 to 507 of the family's 1533-position model. RNAcentral also lists the same sequence under 1 other name. The record is from RNAcentral.
AGCGAACGCUGGCGGCAGGCCUAACACAUGCAAGUCGAGCGCCCAGCAAUGGGAGCGGCAGACGGGUGAGUAACACGUGGGGAUCUACCCAAUGGUACGGAAUAACCCAGGGAAACUUGGACUAAUACCGUAUGUGCCCUUCGGGGGAAAGAUUUAUCGCCAUUGGAUGAACCCGCGUCGGAUUAGCUAGUUGGUGAGGUAAAGGCUCACCAAGGCGACGAUCCGUAGCUGGUCUGAGAGGAUGAUCAGCCACACUGGGACUGAGACACGGCCCAGACUCCUACGGGAGGCAGCAGUGGGGAAUAUUGGACAAUGGGCGCAAGCCUGAUCCAGCCAUGCCGCGUGUGUGAUGAAGGCCUUAGGGUUGUAAAGCACUUUCGCCGGUGAAGAUAAUGACGGUAACCGGAGAAGAAGCCCCGGCUAACUUCGUG